RNAcentral lists this ribosomal RNA (800 nucleotides) under bacterium. RNAcentral's name for it is "bacterial SSU rRNA". It matches the Rfam family "Bacterial small subunit ribosomal RNA", at positions 90 to 922 of the family's 1533-position model. The record is from RNAcentral.
UGAUAGCGGCGGACGGGUGAGUAAUGCCUACGAAUCUGCCUGGUAGUGGGGGAUAACGUUCGGAAACGGACGCUAAUACCGCAUACGUCCUACGGGAGAAAGCAGGGGACCUUCGGGCCUUGCGCUAUCAGAUGAUCCUAGGUCGGAUUAGCUAGUUGGUGGGGUAAUGGCUCACCAAGGCGACGAUCCGUAACUGGUCUGAGAGGAUGAUCAGUCACACUGGAACUGAGACACGGUCCAGACUCCUACGGGAGGCAACAGUGGGGAAUAUUGGACAUGGGCGAAAGCCUGAUCCGCCAUGCCGCGUGUGUGAAGAAGGUCUUCAGAUUGUAAAGCUCUUUAAGUUGGGAGGAAGGGUUGUAGAUUAAUACUCUGCAAUUUUGACGUUACCGACAGAAUAAGCACCGGCUAACUCUGUGCCGGCAGCCGCGGUAAUACAGAGGGUGCAAGCGUUAAUCGGAAUUACUGGGCGUAAAGCGCGCGUAGGUGGUUUGUUAAGUUGGAUGUGAAAUCCCCGGGCUCAACCUGGGAACUGCAUUCCAAACUGACUGACUAGAGUAUGGUAGAGGGUGGUGGAAUUUAUGUGUAGCAUUCAUGCGUAGAUAUAAAAGGACAACAUUGGCAAAGCGACAUCUGGACUAUACUGACUUGAUGUGCUAAACCUGAGAGCAACGCGAUAGAUCCCCGGUAUCCACGCCGUAACGACUCACUAACCUUGAAGCUUGAGUUUUAGUGCGCGCUACGCAUUAAGUGACGCCUGGGAGUACGCCCCGGGUAAACUCAAUGAAUGACCGGGCCGC